This 408-nucleotide unclassified non-coding RNA is filed under the name soil metagenome. Its description in RNAcentral is "partial contains 5.8S ribosomal RNA, internal transcribed spacer 2, and large subunit ribosomal RNA". The stretch from base 1 to 121 matches the Rfam family "5.8S ribosomal RNA", at positions 35 to 154 of the family's 154-position model. The record is from RNAcentral.
GAUGAAGAACGCAGCGAAAUGCGAUAAGUAGUGUGAAUUGCAGAAGUACCGUGAAUCAUCGAAUCUUUGAACGCAAAUUGCACUCUCUGGUAUUCCGGGGAGUAUGCCUGUUUGAGGGUCGCUUAACAAACCAUCGAUUUCGUUGCUUUUUUUUAAAAAGUGAUGUUUAUCGGAUUUGAGCCGUCUUUUUUUUUAUAUUUAAGUGGCUUAAAAUUGAUUUUUUUGGUACGAUCGAAGCGUAUUUUUAUGAUCAAUUUUUGGUUAAAGAAACGCACACGUACCGUUAUUUAUAUGAUGUAAUACGUUUGACUAUUGGAUUUAGUUCAUUCGUAUACGAUAUUUUUCAAUAUUUGACCUCAAAUCAGGUAAGAACACCCGCUGAACUUAAGCAUAUCAAUAAGCGGAGGA